UAGGAGGUCCCGCCUGCCCUGUGACUUAAGGUUUAACGGCCGCGGUAUUUUGACCGUGCAAAGGUAGCGCAAUCACUUGUCUUUUAAAUGAAGACCUGUAUGAAUGGCACGACGAGGGCUUAACUGUCUCCUCCCCCCGGUCAAUGAAAUUGAUCUCUCCGUGCAGAAGCGGAGAUAACAUCAUAAGACGAGAAGACCCUGUGGAGCUUUAGACGACAGGCAAGACCAUGUCAAGAACCCCAAGUUAAUGGGUUGAACUAAUUGGAUGCUUGCCAAUUGUCUUUGGUUGGGGCGACCGCGGGGAACUAAAAAACCCCCACGUGGAACGAGAGCAUCUCUGCUCCCAGAACCAAGAGCCACAGCUCUAAGUAACAGAAAUUCUGACCAACUAGAUCCGGCAGAGCCGAUCAACGGACCGAGUUACCCCAGGGAUAACAGCGCAAUCCCCUUCUAGAGCCCAUAUCGACAAGGGGGUUUACGACCUCGAUGUUGGAUCAGGACAUCCUAAUGGUGCAGCCGCUAUUAAGGGUUCGUUUGUUCAACGAUUAA
This 549-nucleotide ribosomal RNA is filed under the name Atherinella panamensis (Panama silverside). RNAcentral describes it as "partial 16S large subunit ribosomal RNA". It matches the Rfam family "Bacterial large subunit ribosomal RNA", at positions 1846 to 2591 of the family's 2925-position model. The record is from RNAcentral. Lineage: Eukaryota; Metazoa; Chordata; Actinopteri; Atheriniformes; Atherinopsidae.